GAUGAACGCGGGCGGCGCGCCUAACACAUGCAAGUCGAAUGAUUAAAGCACCUUCGGGUGUGUAUAAAGUGGCGAACGGCUGAGUAACACGUGGGCAACCUGCCCCUCUCAUUGGGAUAGCCACGGGAAACCGUGGAUAAUACCGAAUACUUCGAGUCUCCCGCAUGGAAGACUCGAGAAAGCUCCGGCGGAGAGGGAUGGGCCCGCGGCCUGUUAGCUUGUUGGUGGGGUAACGGCCUACCAAGGCAAUGAUGGGUAGCUGGGUUGAGAGACCGACCAGCCAGAUUGGGACUGAGACACGGCCCAGACUCCUACGGGAGGCAGCAGUGGGGAAUCUUGCACAAUGGGCGAAAGCCUGAUGCAGCGACGCCGCGUGCGGGAUGAAGGCCUUCGGGUUGUAAACCGCUUUCAGCAGGGACGAGGCGAAAGUGACGGUACCUGCAGAAGAAGCCCCGGCUAACUACGUGCCAGCAGCCGCGGUAAUACGUAGGGGGCAAGCGUUAUCCGGAUUCAUUGGGCGUAAAGCGCUCGUAGGCGGUCUGUUAGGUCGGGAGUUAAAUCCGGGGGCUCAACCCCCGUUCGCUCCCGAUACCGGCAGACUUGAGUUUGGUAGGGGAAGGUGGAAUUCCUAGUGUAGCGGUGGAAUGCGCAGAUAUUAGGAAGAACACCAGUGGCGAAGGCGGCCUUCUGGGCCAUAACUGACGCUGAGGAGCGAAAGCUAGGGGAGCAAACAGG
This 735-nucleotide ribosomal RNA is filed under the name uncultured Atopobium sp. RNAcentral describes it as "bacterial SSU rRNA". It matches the Rfam family "Bacterial small subunit ribosomal RNA", at positions 28 to 776 of the family's 1533-position model. The record is from RNAcentral. Lineage: Bacteria; Bacillati; Actinomycetota; Coriobacteriia; Coriobacteriales; Atopobiaceae.